AACGAACGCUGGCGGCAUGCCUAACACAUGCAAGUCGAACGUGAUCCAGGCUUCGGUCUGGUGAAAGUGGCAGACGGGUGAGUAACACGUGACUAACCUACCUUCGAGUGGGGGAUAACAUCGGGAAACCGAUGCUAAUACCGCAUAACAUCGCAAGAUCAAAGCAGCAAUGCGCUGGAAGAGGGGGUCGCGGCUGAUUAGCUAGUUGGCGGGGUAACGGCCCACCAAGGCGAAGAUCGGUAGCCGGCCUGAGAGGGCGCACGGCCACACUGGAACUGAAACACGGUCCAGACUCCUACGGGAGGCAGCAGCGGGGAAUUUUGCGCAAUGGGGGAAACCCUGACGCAGCAACGCCGCGUGGAGGAUAAGGCCCCUUGGGGUGUAAACUCCUUUCGACCAAGACGAUAAUGACGGUACUGGUGGAAGAAGCACCGGCUAACUCUGUGCCAGCAGCCGCGGUAAUACAGAGGGUGCGAGCGUUGUUCGGAAUUAUUGGGCGUAAAGGGUGCGUAGGCGGUGCCACAAGUCACUUGUGAAAUCCCCAGGCUUAACCUGGGGCCUGCAGGCGAAACUGUGGUGCUGGAGUAUGGGAGAGGUGCGUGGAAUUCCCGGUGUAGCGGUGAAAUGCGUAGAUAUCGGGAGGAACACCUGUGGCGAAAGCGGCGCACUGGACCAUAACUGACGCUGAUGCACGAAAGCUAGGGGAGCAAACAGGAUUAGAUACCCUGGUAGUCCUAGCCCUAAACGAUGAUUGCUUGGUGUAGCAGGUACCCAAUCCUGCUGUGCCGCAGCUAACGCGAUAAGCAAUCCGCCUGGGGAGUACGGUCGCAAGGCUG
Molecule: ribosomal RNA, 836 nt
Filed under: uncultured bacterium
Lineage: Bacteria
Description: bacterial SSU rRNA
Rfam family: Bacterial small subunit ribosomal RNA
Source: RNAcentral